UGUAGGAGCCGGCUUGCUGGCGAUGGUGUGUCAGCAACCUAUGCGUCGACUGACACACCAUCGCCAGCAAGCCGGCUCCUACA
Molecule: unclassified non-coding RNA, 83 nt
Filed under: Pseudomonas migulae
Lineage: Bacteria; Pseudomonadati; Pseudomonadota; Gammaproteobacteria; Pseudomonadales; Pseudomonadaceae
Source: RNAcentral